AGCUUAACAGUUUUGAGGCCUCAUGUACACAAAUGAAGGGUUAUGGAGCUGCAGUGGUGCUCAACCAACUGUCCUGGCAAAAUUAUUUAGGAGGUAAAAGAACAUUCCCCACAUUAGGAGCCAAAAAGCCAGGUACUGGUGCCAGUGGCAUAGGAAGUUACUGGAAACCAGGAAAAUACAUCGGGGAGCAAGCUCAAAGGACCAGGCUGAACCCAGCAGUCACAAGCUGGAUGGACACUCCGUGAGCACGUAUUGGAGUCCAUAGCUGCACAUCCC
Chiroxiphia lanceolata (lance-tailed manakin) is the source of this 276-nucleotide long non-coding RNA. RefSeq lists it as uncharacterized. The transcript has 3 exons. Lineage: Eukaryota; Metazoa; Chordata; Aves; Passeriformes; Pipridae. The record is from RefSeq and is a predicted model, not a curated record.